Molecule: ribosomal RNA, 494 nt
Filed under: uncultured bacterium
Lineage: Bacteria
Description: partial 16S ribosomal RNA
Rfam family: Bacterial small subunit ribosomal RNA
Source: RNAcentral
AUUGAACGCUGGCGGCAUGCCUUACACAUGCAAGUCGAACGGUAGAGGGGCAACCCUUGAGAGUGGCGAACGGGUGAGUAGCGUAUCGGAACGUGCCCAGUCGUGGGGGAUAACGUAGCGAAAGUUACGCUAAUACCGCAUACGAUCUAUGGAUGAAAGCGGGGGAUCGCAAGCCCUCGCGCGAUUGGAGCGGCCGAUAUCAGAUUAGGUAGUUGGUGGGGUAAAGGCUCCCCAAGCCGACGAUCUGUAGCUGGUCUGAGAGGACGACCAGCCACACUGGGACUGAGACGCGGCCCAGACUCCUACGGGAGGCAGCAGUGGGGAAUUUUGGACAAUGGGCGCAAGCCUGAUCCAGCCAUGCCGCGUGCAGGAUGAAGGCCUUCGGGUUGUAAACUGCUUUUGUACGGAACGAAAAGGUUUGACUUAAUACGUUGGACUCAUGACGGUACCGUAAGAAUAAGCACCGGCUAACUACGUGCCAGCAGCCGCCGUAA